This 398-nucleotide small RNA is filed under the name Pongo abelii (Sumatran orangutan). RNAcentral describes it as "processed transcript". Lineage: Eukaryota; Metazoa; Chordata; Mammalia; Primates; Hominidae. The record is from RNAcentral.
GUUGGACUUGCUGCUUUUGCCUGUGUCCUGUUGGUGGUUCUCUUCAUCAUGAUCAACAAAUAUGGUCGACGGUCCAAAUUUGGAAUGAAGGGUGAGCUGUCUUGACUGGGCUGAUGCUGGGCUGCCAGGAAAAAGAACAUGCAUAGCUCCGUAUUGGCCCAUGAUGGCUUCCUGCUGUGGCCCAGCCAGCACUGCCCGCUUGCCCUCUCUUGCUCCUCAGCCUGGCAGUCCUUAUCAGCCUCUCCCCCAAAAGCCAGGUUGCCAAACCUCUCAGCCUUCAAGUGCCCACCAUACCUCUGCCCUCUUGCUACCACUUCCCUGAAUUCUUCAAACCAACGGUGUCUCAUCAAAUUGUGCAUUAACUGUGUUACAAUAAGAAUAAACUGUGUUUAUUUCUA